Non-coding RNA from Rattus norvegicus (Norway rat), 1621 nucleotides. Lineage: Eukaryota; Metazoa; Chordata; Mammalia; Rodentia; Muridae. The record is from RefSeq and is a predicted model, not a curated record.
CUUCUCUGCUUUCCUUUCCAGAACUGUUCAGCCACCAACCAUCCACCCGAGGCAGCCCCAUGCCUGCCCCGACUGAAGAGUCAGCUUACAAAGGCAAGCACUUGUUUGCUCUGUGCUUUUGUGUUCCUAGCGCCUAGAAAGUGCCUGACUGAGAAAACACGUCCAGUAAAUAUCUGUGGUGUGGAAGGCCGUAUAGCUAGAAAUAUAUAAGUUUUCACCAAAGGAAAAUGGCAGGCAUUUCCUUUGCAAAGGUUGAACCAUAUGAGGAACCAGGUCACUGAAGGGCUGCUGUGGGCUUCCUGGGUGUUAAGGAAAAGGCCUACAAUCCAACGUAAAUGAAAAAUCUACAAACCAGGCUGUGAACCUGCCAGGGUUUUAUAUGUCCUCUGGUUAAAGUAGGGAGCCGCUUUCAGACAGAACAUCCCUGGGCUCAUUCAUUCUCCCAGAAAAUCUUUUCAACGGUCCUACCUCCGUCAUCCACGUUGAAACCAGCAAGUGUCUGACCUGGAAGAACUGUGAAAGGAAGGCGCAUCAUGAGGAGAGCGUGAGGAGCCUGCCUAGUCCACUGUUAACACAAGCAAUACUUCUCCAAUAGGCCCUCCUAGUUUGUUUGUAUUUUAACCUAAAACAGACGAGUGGCCAGGGAAUUACUCCCACUUCUCUCACCUUUCCCCAGGACUGUCUGCUUUGCGUGCAAUGCCACUAUUUUCCUCCUCCUUGAUAGUGAGCUUUUCGUGGUCUAAGUGCCACCACGGAAAAGGCUAAUCUUCCUGAGAGUGGCUUGACCCACUUAUGGCUGUGUCAGUCCUCCCAGCACCGGAGGCUUAACUGAUGUCAGCACCUUAAGAACUGUCUCUGUUGUCGUCAACGGAGUGUGUCUGAUGUUCUGGAAUUUUUAUUAAUUUAUCUUCUUUUCAGUGCUGACCCUGGCUAUAAUUCCAGCACUCAGAAAGCAGAGACAGAAGGACCCUGAGUUCAAGGUCAGACUGAGCUACAUAGCCAGUCUGAGGCCAGCACAUGCUACAUGAGAUCCUCUGGGCCAGGCACGGUAGAACACGUCUUUAAUCAUAACAUUUGGGAGGCAGAGGUUGGCAGAUCUCUUUGAAUCCAGCCUCCUCUACAUAAUUCCUCUUCUCCACGCGCUCCAAGCCAGGCAGGGUUACACAAUAUUUGAAAAGGAGAAGAUGCUCAGUGGUUGUCACCAUGGCUGAUGUGGAGCUUCCGAAAACAGCAGACAACAUUCUGUAACUAUCAACACUCAGUUAGACCCGGCCUGCUCAACACCAGUGCACCACUGGGAGAUGACUCCACUACCCCAGCAGCUGUGCCUUCCCUGCCCUCUUCCCACACAGCGACUGUUCUCAUUGCCCUUCCAUUUCUUCAGGAAAAUAGAAACCACCAGAAGACCACUCAGCCUUCUCUCCUCCUACAGAACUCCCCCCUCUGGGGACACACCCUCUCUUCUUCAUUUUUAGGGAACUGAUGUGAAGCACUUGACUUCUCACCUCACUGCUUCUCUCAGUGAAUGUGGGACCCUCUGGGCCUUGUUCCAGGCCUCCUACUAUGGUGGCUAAUCCUUAAUCUCUUUUGAUGUCUCUAUUAAAUGUUGAGGUUCUCUCUG